RNAcentral lists this transfer RNA (72 nucleotides) under Pangasianodon hypophthalmus (striped catfish). It matches the Rfam family "tRNA". From Rfam's summary of the family: Transfer RNA (tRNA) molecules are approximately 80 nucleotides in length. Lineage: Eukaryota; Metazoa; Chordata; Actinopteri; Siluriformes; Pangasiidae. The record is from Rfam by way of RNAcentral.
UCCCUGGAGGACUAGUGGUUCGGCCACAGCACUCUUACCGCUGAGGCCUGGGUUCAAUUCUCAGCCAGGGUU